GGGAAAAGUGAGCUGUGGGAGAGUGGGACCAGGAUACCCAGAGGAAACUGCUGGCCAGGAACCACCAUCAAGUGAUCUCUUUUUCUGAGAGGAAAAGUUUUUCCUGAACCAUCGCAGUGAUUCAUGAGUCAGUUCUAAGGUAUCUACAUGAGAAUUUUCUGUGCAGGUGGAGAGACUGCAGUGUCACAGAACGCCCGUGCUUCUUGACUUCUUUGGUCAUAUUAGAGUACUGGGUCAUAGAUUUUUAUCUUUUAUAAUUCUGGAGAAAAAAAUUGUUAGUUUUGUAAGUUUUCUUAAGAACAGAUAUAUGUAUUUUAAUAGCUCCAUUGCAUUAGAGCAGUUUAACUUAGUGACAUGUGAAAUCUGUUAUCUCCAGGCCAUAGGUGUUGAGAACUAUCAAGUUUAAAAAAAGGGGGUGGGGGGGGAGAGUGGCAACCUUUCUGCUGUCAGAGGGAAGGACUUGAAGUUGCAUUGCUGAUUCCAAAAGCUGGCUCUUAAAAAUUUUUUUUUCUAGCCCAAAGAAAAGAAUAGUGUUAAUUGUUAGUAAUAAGCCCAAGUUAGAGUACUAAUUUAGGAUUAAGUACUGAGAUCUUAUGAUUGACUUUUAGUUUAGCCUCACAUGACUUGCAGGGAGAAAUUUGAUAGUUUUGCGAUUUCUCCAGCUUAAAUGUGUAUUUUGGUUCUUCUUUUUCUUUUUUCUUUUUUUAAAGUUAGUUGAAUUAUUUUUACCACACAUUAUAGNCUGCAUGUAUAGCUGGGAAAACGUAUAAUACCCUACAUUAUAAAUAUAAUGUACACUUACAUGACUUUAAAUAUAAGCUAUUUAAAGAAAUUCAUAGUUGGUUUUACUUGCCUUUUAACUCCACUUUGGGCUUCUUUUCUCUCAGAGGGAAGCGCAUGCUCUAACUUGACUUGCAAACGUUUGUCGUUUGCAGGUUGCUCUUGAUGUUAACUCUGAUUGUUAGCUAGACUUUUGUUACCUGGAAAANUUUGGACAUAAAAUUAAAUAAAUGAUACCUGUGAAGUUUGUAUAUUAGGUGGAUUGAUUGAAUUUUUUCCUGUAAUUGAGUAUGGGCUACAUUUUGAAAAGCCACAUUUGCCUUUAUGCUGGACUUUUAAAAAAUGACAAUGUGUAAGACGUUUUCCCUUUAUAUGUUAAACUUUUCUUAGCAUUUUGUAUUUAUAUUUUAUCACUUUGUGAUUUUAAACUACAAUUCAGUGAAAUAUAGUGAACAAGUGAGAAAUAGAUUGGCCUUUAUCUUAUACUACCAGGGAAAAUUUAAAUUUUCUCAUAAACACUUUGCUGCCAGAAUUCAGUAUAUACCAAUGGUAUAUACAAUAAUAUUCCACAUUCUGUUUUCAGGCUAAUAAAUGUUAAUGUAGUCUAAUGUUUGUCUUCAGGAUCUGUAUUGUAAACAAAAUAUUGACAGUGGCUAUGUUUCAAGGAGUGAGUAUUUUUAAACACAUGACUUCUGUUGUAAUAAUCAAAGGUGUACAUAAAAAUAGAUUUGUCAACAUGGAACUUAAAGUUGAAAAUCCAAGAAAUUAGAAACACUGAUUUUUUUUUAAUNAGGUGAAACAUAUGGGUAAACACAAAUGAAUCAAUAAAACCGUGUUACGACAUUCUA
This is a non-coding RNA of Mus caroli (Ryukyu mouse), 1628 nucleotides long. Lineage: Eukaryota; Metazoa; Chordata; Mammalia; Rodentia; Muridae. The record is from RefSeq and is a predicted model, not a curated record.